CCCUUAGAUGUUCUGGGCCGCACACGCGCUACACUGGCAGGUUCAUCGAGCUUCAUGCCCUGAUCUGAGAAGAACGGGAAAUCUUUGAACACCUGCCGUGCUUGGGAUAGAUGUUUGCAAUUAUUCAUCUUCAACGAGGAUUGCCUUGUAAGCGCACGUCAUCAGCGUGCAUUGAAUACGACCCUGUAUUCUGUACACACCGCCCGUCGCUCCUACCGAUUGAAGUUUUCGGUGAAUUUACUGGAGAUCCCUUUUGAAGGUGGUUCGCCACUGGAAGAAGUAUCCAAAAGUAAAUGAAUCGAAUGCUUUAGAGGAAGGAGAAGUCGUAACA
This 331-nucleotide ribosomal RNA is filed under the name uncultured eukaryote. RNAcentral's name for it is "partial 18S ribosomal RNA". It matches the Rfam family "Eukaryotic small subunit ribosomal RNA", at positions 1470 to 1796 of the family's 1831-position model. The record is from RNAcentral.